RNAcentral lists this ribosomal RNA (503 nucleotides) under uncultured marine eukaryote. RNAcentral describes it as "SSU rRNA". It matches the Rfam family "Eukaryotic small subunit ribosomal RNA", at positions 616 to 1120 of the family's 1831-position model. The record is from RNAcentral.
CGGUUAAAAAGCUCGUAGUUGGAUCUCGGCAAGUAGAGGGCGGUAUGCUUCGUAGCAUUACUGCCCUAUUACUUGUAGUUUUGCCAGAGGUUCCUGGGUGCUCUUAAUCGAGUGUCUAGGGAUGCUGGCAGGUUUACUUUGAAAAAAUUAGAGUGCUCAAAGCAGGCUAUUACGCUUGAAUAUUCGUGCAUGGAAUAAUAGAAUAGGAAGUUGUUUCUAUUUUGUUGGUUUUCGGAAAUCGACUUAAUGAUUAAUAGGGACAGUCGGGGGCAUUUGUAUCCAAACGACAGAGGUGAAAUUCUUGGACCGUUUGAAGACAAACUACUGCGAAAGCAUUUGCCAAGAAUGUUUUCAUUAAUCAAGAACGAAAGUUAGAGGUUCGAAGGCGAUUAAAUACCGCCCUAGUUCUAACCAUAAACGAUGCCAGCUAGCGAUCUGAGGACGUUUUUUUUGUAGACUCCUCAAGAAGCUUCCGGGAAACCAAAGUGUGUGGGUUCCGGGGG